RNAcentral lists this ribosomal RNA (440 nucleotides) under uncultured bacterium. RNAcentral describes it as "partial 16S ribosomal RNA". It matches the Rfam family "Bacterial small subunit ribosomal RNA", at positions 28 to 507 of the family's 1533-position model. The record is from RNAcentral.
GACGAACGCUGGCGGCGUGCCUAAUGCAUGCAAGUCGCACGCGGCACCUUCGGGUGCUGCGUGGCGAACGGCUGAGGAACACGUGGGGACCUGUCCGGGAGUGGGGGACAACACCGCGAAAGCGGUGCUAAUCCCGCAUACGCUCUGAGGAGGAAAGCCGAAAGGCGCUCCCGGGUGGCCCUGCGGCCCAUCAGGUUGUUGGUGGGGUAACGGCCUACCAAGCCAAUGACGGGUCGCUGGUCUGUGAGGACGACCAGCCAGACUGGGACUGGGACACGGCCCAGACUCCUACGGGAGGCAGCAGCAAGGAAUUUUCGGCAAUGGGCGCAAGCCUGACCGAGCAACGCCGCGUGCAGGAAGACGGCCUUCGGGUUGUAAACUGCUUUUGCUAGGGAUGAUAACAGGCAGUACCUGGCGAAUCAGCCCCGGCUAACUCUGUG